RNAcentral lists this ribosomal RNA (468 nucleotides) under uncultured bacterium. RNAcentral describes it as "partial 16S ribosomal RNA". It matches the Rfam family "Bacterial small subunit ribosomal RNA", at positions 28 to 507 of the family's 1533-position model. The record is from RNAcentral.
GACGAACGCUGGCGGCGUGCUUAACACAUGCAAGUCGAACGGAAAGGCCCUGCUUUUGUGGGGUUCUCGAGUGGCGAACGGGUGAGUAACACGUGAGUAACCUGCUCUUGACUUUGGGAUAACUUCAGGAAACUGGGGCUAAUACCGGAUAGGAGCUCCUGCUGCAUGGUGGGGGUUGGAAAGUUUCGGCGGUUGGGGAUGGACUCGCGGCUUAUCAGCUUGUUGGUGGGGUAGUGGCUUACCAAGGCAUUGACGGGUAGCCGGCCUGAGAGGGUGACCGGCCACAAUGGGACUGAGAUACGGACCAGACUCCUACGUGAGGCAGCAGUGGGGAGUAUUGCACAAUGGGCGGAAGCCUGAUGCAGCAACGCCGCGUGCGUGAUGACGGCCUUCUGGUUGUAAACCGCUUUCGCCUGUGACGAAGCGUGAGUGACGGUAAUGAGUAAAUAAGCACCGGCUAACUACGUG